RNAcentral lists this ribosomal RNA (433 nucleotides) under uncultured bacterium. Its description in RNAcentral is "partial 16S ribosomal RNA". It matches the Rfam family "Bacterial small subunit ribosomal RNA", at positions 29 to 507 of the family's 1533-position model. The record is from RNAcentral.
AACGAACGCUGGCGGCAUGCCUAACACAUGCAAGUCGAACGAGACCUUCGGGUCUAGUGGCGCACGGGUGCGUAACGCGUGGGAACCUGCCCGUAGGUUCGGAAUAACUCCCCGAAAGGUGUGCUAAUACCGGAUAAUGUCAUCGGACCAAAGAUUUAUCGCCGUUGGAUGGGCCCGCGUUGGAUUAGCUAGUUGGUAGUGUAAAAGCCUACCAAGGAGACGAUCCAGAGCUGGUCGGAGAGGAGGAUCAGCCACACUGGGACUGAGACACGGCCCAGACUCGUACGGGAGGCAGGAGUGGGGUAUAUUAGACAAUGGGCGAAAGCCUGAUCCAGCAAUGCCGCGUGAGUGAUGAAGGCCUUAGGGUUGUAAAGCUCUUUUAGCCGAGAUGAUAAUGACAGUACCGGGAGAAUAAGCACCGGCUAACUCCGUG